RNAcentral lists this ribosomal RNA (439 nucleotides) under uncultured bacterium. Its description in RNAcentral is "partial 16S ribosomal RNA". It matches the Rfam family "Bacterial small subunit ribosomal RNA", at positions 339 to 795 of the family's 1533-position model. The record is from RNAcentral.
CUACGGGCGGCUGCAGUGAGGAAUAUUGCACAAUGGAGGAAACUCUGAUGCAGCAACGCCGCGUGGAGGAUGACGCAUUUCGGUGUGUAAACUCCUUUUAUAUGUCAAGAAAAUGACGGUAGCAUAUGAAUAAGCUCCGGCUAACUCCGUGCCAGCAGCCGCGGUAAUACGGAGGGAGCAAGCGUUACUCGGAAUCACUGGGCGUAAAGGACGCGUAGGCGGGAUAGAAAGUCAGGUGUGAAAUCCUAUGGCUCAACCAUAGAACUGCACUUGAAACUUCUAACCUAGAGUAUGGGAGGGGAAGAUGGAAUUAGUGGUGUAGGGGUAAAAUCCGUAGAUAUCACUAGGAAUACCAAAAGCGAAGGCGAUCUUCUGGGACAAUACUGACGCUAAGGCGUGAAAGCGUGGGGAGCAAACAGGAUUAGAUACCCCCGUAGUC